AGCGAACGCUGGCGGCAGGCUUAACACAUGCAAGUCGAGCGGGCACUUCGGUGUCAGCGGCAGACGGGUGAGUAACACGUGGGAACGUACCCUUCGGUUCGGAAUAACGCUGGGAAACUAGCGCUAAUACCGGAUACGCCCUUUUGGGGAAAGGUUUACUGCCGUAGGAUCGGCCCGCGUCUGAUUAGCUAGUUGGUGGGGUAAUGGCCUACCAAGGCGACGAUCAGUAGCUGGUCUGAGAGGAUGAUCAGCCACACUGGGACUGAGACACGGCCCAGACUCCUACGGGAGGCAGCAGUGGGGAAUAUUGGACAAUGGGCGCAAGCCUGAUCCAGCCAUGCCGCGUGAGUGAUGAAGGCCUUAGGGUUGUAAAGCUCUUUUGUCCGGGACGAUAAUGACGGUACCGGAAGAAUAAGCCCCGGCUAACUUCGUG
This 433-nucleotide ribosomal RNA is filed under the name uncultured bacterium. Its description in RNAcentral is "partial 16S ribosomal RNA". It matches the Rfam family "Bacterial small subunit ribosomal RNA", at positions 29 to 507 of the family's 1533-position model. The record is from RNAcentral.